RNAcentral lists this ribosomal RNA (495 nucleotides) under uncultured bacterium. Its description in RNAcentral is "partial 16S ribosomal RNA". It matches the Rfam family "Bacterial small subunit ribosomal RNA", at positions 28 to 507 of the family's 1533-position model. The record is from RNAcentral.
GACGAACGCUGGCGGCGUGCCUAAUACAUGCAAGUAGAACGCUGAAGGAGGAGCUUGCUCUUCUGGAUGAGUUGCGAACGGGUGAGUAACGCGUAGGUAACCUGCCUGGUAGCGGGGGAUAACUAUUGGAAACGAUAGCUAAUACCGCAUAACAGUAGAUGUUGCAUGACAUUUACUUAAAAGGUGCAAUUGCAUCACUACCAGAUGGACCUGCGUUGUAUUAGCUAGUUGGUGGGGUAACGGCUCACCAAGGCGACGAUACAUAGCCGACCUGAGAGGGUGAUCGGCCACACUGGGACUGAGACACGGCCCAGACUCCUACGGGAGGCAGCAGUAGGGAAUCUUCGGCAAUGGACGGAAGUCUGACCGAGCGACGCCGCGUGAGUGAAGAAGGUUUUCGGAUCGUAAAGCUCUGUUGUAAGAGAAGAACGAGUGUGAGAGUGGAAAGUUCACACUGUGACGGUAUCUUACCAGAAAGGGACGGCUAACUACGUG